GAAGGCUUGUUUUUUGUUUUUCGUUUUUCAGUAAGAAAGUAAUUUAAUUAUGAUACUAGUUUGGGCCACAUAGAAGGCGCUUCUUCCUGUAACAUUAUGAAGCUAAACAACUUGUAAUCCAACUCAAAUUAAUAAUAGUGCAAUAUGGAUCUUACUAUUUAAAAUUUGAUGUGACAUUAUAUGAAUUCCAAAAGUAAUAUACACAUAAUUAAGCUCUAGCCAAGCUAGAGAGCAAUUAUUUAUAUUUGUAUUUAAUCAUGCAAAAUAAAUAAACUCGAGAACUUUUCUUGGGGACUAGGCCUUCUAGCAAUUUUCAACAUAUUUCUUCAAAAACAAAUUAUCUUUUACAAAAAAUAAAUAAAUAAAUGAUGAUGAUGAUACCUACUGAUAUUCUUCUAUAGAAAAAAAAUAAUAUAAAAAUAUAAAAAUUUCUACCACCUCCUCACCAAUGUUUUGGCUCCAAUGAAUGUGUUAUUUGAUAUUUUCAGACUAUGAAUCUUUUCUUUUCUUUUCUUUUCUUUUCUUUUCUUUUUUCUUUUAUUUUUUUCCUGGUUACUGGAAAUAGCAUUCUUGUUAAUUGAAUAGCUAUAAAACCAAGUAAACACAUAGACCAACUUUAAGUAAACUUUAAUUAACUAAUAUAUUUAUUGCUUUAGUCUCCUGUUUUUCAAGAAGUUUCAUAUCAAACAAUGUGAUAUGAAUAGAUCAAGCUAUGCAUGCCCUUUCUCACUUGAUCUUCCUUCUCAUCACUGUCAAAAUAUACCUUAAUGGCCAAGAAAUUAAGAAUCUUCAAGUCUUUUAAUACGCACCACAUCACAAAUCCCACAUGCAAUUGCUCUAAACUUAGCUUUUGCACUACUCCUUACCACAACACCUUGUUUUUUGCUUCUCCAAGUAACUAAAUUCCCUCCAAUAAAGGUACAAUAACCAAAAGUUGAUCUUCUAUCAAUUAGACUCCAGCCCAAUCUGCAUAGUUGUAGACUUCAACCCGUAAAUGUUCGUGUUUCUUAAAUAAUAUACCUCUUCCAAGAGUCCCUUUCAAGUACUUUAAGAUUUUAUUAAAGCCAUCAAAGUGUUUCAGGCUAGGUGAAUGCAUGAAUUGGCUUACCAUGCUUACUACAUAGUGUGAAGCCUUUUGCCACAAGCCUUGCCUUGUACUUUUCUAAGCUUCUGUUUGUUUUGCAUUUAAUCGUAAACACUCAUUCAAACCUUACUUUCUUCUUUUCCAAUAGCAAGUCAACUAAUUUCCAAGUGUCAUUUUUGUUCAAAGCAUUCAUUUCUUCCAUGACUACUAUCUUCCAAUUCAGAUCGUCUAGAGCUUCUUGAAUAUUUCUUGGAAUAAACAAUUGAGAUAUCUUAAAGGUAAAAGCUCUAUAAUUAUUUGAAAGUUUUUAUUAAGAUAAGUAUUCAAUGACAUUGUUUUCUCCUUGCUGAAUUUCACCAAAUGUCAAAGUGCCACAAACUUGAGAUUGAUUACCCAAAUCACAAUACAUCUUGUUAAGAUUAUCCCAAAGUUCCUUUGUCGUUGAAUAACACAUAUAGUUAUCAUUGAUGUCCCCAUCCAUGGAAUUCAUAAGCCACUUUAGAACCAUGGAGUUUUCAGCAUCCUACGUAGCAUAUGUUAGGCCCUCCCUUGCUUCUGCCUUCUUCUCACUAGUCAAAUAGCCUAAUUUCCCUAACCCCCGAAUAUACAUGCACACGAACUGAGACCAACACAAGAAGUUAUAGCCAAUAAAACAAAUGGUGGUGAUUUGGACUGAGUGUGGCUCAUUAUUGGAGGCUUGGGUCGUAGCAAGUUUUGUUUCAGACAUGGUGAACAAAAGCAAAAGCAGCAAGGAGAUGGAAAAGGUUCUAGGGUUUUUAAAAAGAGUUGAUGAUCAAAUCUCUGCUUUGAUACUAUGAAGACAGAGUAUUCUUUGGAGAUCAGUUUAUCAACUAAAUUCAAAAUAGUUUAUCCAAGGUUCCUAUUUGAAGGAGAACACGAGGCAUGAAAUCAAGAACAAAUCGAAUCUAUUUUGAUUAAUAUUCUAAGUAGGAGUGACCACUAAUUUAUAGGAUUUGAUUAAUACCAAAUCUAUUUUCUAAUUUAUAGACAACCUGAUAUGGAAUCUUUUAUUUUAUAACAAAUCUAGAGAUAAAAGUAUCAUAAAAGUUGGAGAUCUAAUAGAAAUGAGAUAAAAGGCAAUGAGAAUGUCACCCUUCCAUGGAUCUUCUCACAAGAAAAUAUGAUUCCAUCUCUGACCUUAUCUUUAACGCAGGAUAACUGCAUCAAUUUUAGCAAAAGGAGAAACUGAUUUCUAACAUCCUAGAUGACUUACAUUAGCUCCAAACUUGGCAUUCAACUCACACCCAUUCUACUGAAGGUCACACUCACAAC
Populus euphratica (Euphrates poplar) is the source of this 2377-nucleotide long non-coding RNA. RefSeq lists it as uncharacterized. The transcript has 3 exons. Lineage: Eukaryota; Viridiplantae; Streptophyta; Magnoliopsida; Malpighiales; Salicaceae. The record is from RefSeq and is a predicted model, not a curated record.